Molecule: non-coding RNA, 776 nt
Filed under: Athetis lepigone
Lineage: Eukaryota; Metazoa; Arthropoda; Insecta; Lepidoptera; Noctuidae
Source: RNAcentral
AAAUAAAUUUUUUAUGGUUUAAUAAUUUUAUUUUAAGUUUAUUUUACAUAUAAAUUUUAGUGUUAAUUUUGAAUUAUUUUAAUAAUAAUUUAUAUUUUAAAGUAGUAAUUAAUAUUAAUUAUUUAAGAAAUUAAGAUUUAGUAAUACUUUAAUUAAUAACAAAUUUUGUGCCAGCAGUUGCGGUUAUACAAAAAUUAAAUUAAAUUUUAUUAGUAAUUAAUAAAUAAUUUUAGAAUAUAAUAAAAAUUAAAUUAUUAGGUGAAAUUUUAAUUUAUUAACUUUUAUAAAAAGUUAUGAUUUAAUAAAUUUUAUAAAAAACUAGGAUUAGAUACCCUAUUAUUAAAAUUUAAAAUUAAAAUACUAAAAUAGUAAAUAAUUAUUUAUUGAAACUUAAAUAAUUUGGCGGUAUUUUAGUUCAUUUAGAGGAAUCUGUUUAAUAAUUGAUAAUCCACGAAUAAAUUUACUUAAUUUAUAAUUUUGUAUAUCGUUGUUAAAAAAAUAUUUUUUAAUAAAAUUAAUAUUUAAAAAUUAUAAUAUAAAUUUAAAUCAGAUCAAGAUGCAGAAUAUAAUUAAGAAUAUAAUGGAUUACAAUAAAUUUAUUUAAAUGAAUAUUAAUUUGUAAAAUUAGUUGAAGGUGGAUUUAAAUGUAAUUUUAUUUAGUUUAAUAAAAUGAUUUUUAAUUAAAAUAUGUACAUAUUGCCCGUCGCUUUCAUAUAAUAAUAAGUUGAAAUAAGUCGUAACAAAGUAGAGGUACUGGAAAGUGUUUCUAGAAAGAA